This is a long non-coding RNA of Taeniopygia guttata (zebra finch), 3042 nucleotides long. NCBI's taxonomy places the organism in Eukaryota, Metazoa, Chordata, Aves, Passeriformes, Estrildidae. The record is from Ensembl.
AGGACCACUUUCCUCCAUCUUAGAACUCCUGACCCCCCUGUACAAAGUGAAAACCCCCCUGUACAGGUACUAAAACCCCCCUGUACAACACUAAAAAAUUUUACCCUCUAAUUUGUGACUACUUUUACUAUACCAUCUAACAUUCUGUGACUGCUUGUUCCACCCUCAAAGUUGGUAAUUCAUUCCAUGGUUCAAACUCAAAAUCACAGCUGUUUUCAGCUGCUUGCCAGGGUCUAAAAUGCUUCUGACCAAGGCCUGGAACCUCUAAAAAUGUCUGAGGGACAUUUUGGGUUCCGACAUCUCCCCUCUCUGUUUGAACCAGAAACACCUGCUUUACCAUGCUGUUCAAGGUCUUUCGAAUACACACGAAAAUGCAUGGUAGAACAAGCAGAAGAACUACAAGCCCUAUAAGAAUAUAAAAUGCUAUUUUCGAAAGUUCUUUCCACAAUGGUGAGAUAUCAAAAAAGUUAAACAAAUUAUCCCACCAGGACCCUGUAACUCUGUUCAAUUUGCUAAUACUAUUCUGUAUUUGUUUUAUAUUUUCAUGAAUAGAUUUUGAAUGAUCGGACAAGUUCAUGCAGCACAUCCCCUCAAAUUCCUCACAUCCGUGCCCAUGUGUCAGCAGCAAAUAAUCAAUUGCCGCCCUGUUUUGAAGCACUGCUUGCCUUGCACUGUUGAUGUCUGUUAACAUGUCACUCAGUGCAAACGAAAUGGCACGACUGUGUUUACUCAACCAACAUGCUAUAUGAUCCAAUUGUGUCAAUGUUCUGAUGCUGUUUGGGGUGAGAAAAUUGCUAUUGCAAUUCUCUGAGCCUUGUUCCAGGUAGAAACAUCAUCAUCACAAUUUGGACUAUAUUGUUCAAGGGAUCUUUUUUCCCUGUGUGUCUGCUUUUGUAAAGUUUUCAAAUCAGGUGUUAACAAUGAGAGUUCCCCGAUGCUGCAUGGACCGCCCUUGAUUUUUGCAGGGAUAGCAGGCCAAAUUCUGUCCCCGCAAAUGAAAAACAUUCCCUUCGGUAAAGUGGCUGGGUGUUGAAGGGAUGGUUUGCUUGUUAUUUUUGUGUGAUUGCACCAAGAUGAUGCAUUUUUAUAAAAAGGCUGAUUGGGAGUGACAUCUAUUGUAUGAUUAUCUGUCUUUGCCACUCCUGAUGAAUUAAAUUCAAUGCACCAUUUCAUUUUUGUUGAUCCAAAAAUGUCCAAUUCUGGAGGUUCCAAGUGAGCCACAGGAAGGUACUGUGUCCAAACUUGCCAUCCCUCCACAGGAUCCGAAAAAGUUUUCAGAAUCUCUGGAGGGAUGCUUUUUGGAAUUGGCCAUUCCUUCACUGGCACACCUACUAAACAUGUUGAAAAUGGUUUUCCUGGCUUUGAAUGAGUCAGACAAAUGCUGUCUAGACCCGCUGCCUUUGCCAAAGUUUCCCACACAUUUUCCCUUGGUUGUUUCACGGGAAAGUCUGUCCAAUUGCCCAAGGCAAUAGGCAAGAGAAUGAAGCACAUGAACACUAUCUGUCUGAAUCCCAUGUCCAUGUCCCCACCCUCUGUGAGAAACCCUGCAAUGCAGCAACACCCAAACAACACUUGAUUUCCCAGGAAAAGAAACCCCCCAAGUCUCUGGGUGAUCAGUCGUUGUCUGAUGUGACGUCUGCGUCGUCGUCUGCCUUCGUCUGCGUGCUUGCUUCUCUGCUCCUCGGGUCCACGUCCACUUGCGUCUGCACCCGAUAAGGUUUCACGUGCCUCGCCGACACCCACUUCGGUCCUCGCUCUGUGGAAACACAAGCGAAACCCUUGCCCCAAGUUAUUAAUGUAAAUGGACCUUCAAUUUGUCCCGAUUCUGGAUUUCUGAUCAAAACUAAAGGAUUUUCCCUUAGCUUUGCUUGUGUGCUGUUUGUGAAGUGCCUAACAAUUGGUGGAGUGGGUUCUGAGAAAGAACCAUUUAAAAAAUUCAAUACAUACAGAGCUUUGUUCAACCGCAUGUGUGGUGUUGCGCCUGCUUCCCCUCUUUUCUGUUUAUCCAAGAGGGAUUUCAGGGUGUGAUGUGUUCUUUCAAUGAUUGCUUGACCUGAGGGAGAAUAAGGAAUACCAAAAAUGUGUUUGACUCCCCAUUUUUUCAGAAAUUUGUCAAGCACCUUACCUGUGUAAGUUGGACCAUUAUCUGUUUUUAUUUCUUGUGGCACCCCGAGUGAUGCAAAUGCUUGCAAAAAAUGUCUGCAGGCAUGUUCUGCAGUUUCCCCUGUAUGUAGUGAUGCGAAAAUUGCCCCUGAAAAUGUGUCAACUGAAACAUGGAUAUUUUUGAGCUUCCCAAAAGAUGGGUAUUUUGUCACAUCAGCUUGCCACAGCUGAAGACUCUGCAAUCCCCUUGGAUUGACAGCUCCUGUGGAUGCAGGAGGCUGCACAAGCUGACAAUCUGGGCAAGCACUGAUGAUUUCCCUCGCCUGACUUUUAGAAAGGCGGAAGGACUCCAUCAGCGCCUGUGCAUUUUGAUGGAAAAAUGCAUGGCUCAAUUUUGCCUGCUCAAAAAUAUCUGGCAAUGUCUGUGAUAUGGUCAUUGUGAGCCUAUCUGCGUGAGCAUUCCCUUCUGCUAGGAACCCUGGGAGUGAGGAAUGUGCCCUGAUGUGUGCAACAAAAUACUUGUGCUCUCUAUUUUCUAGAAUUGUCCUCAUGCAUAACAAAUAUGAAUAUAAAAUUUCAUUGUCAGUGUGUUUCAAAAGUGAUCCCUCUAAUCGUUUGACCACAUUUGCAACAUAUGCUGAAUCUGUGAUCAGAUUGAGAGGUUCCUGAAACAAUUGAAAAACCCUGACCACUGCUGCCAAUUCCACAAUUUGUGGUGAACCCUGUACUAUUUUUAUGUCUGAUUCCCAUUCCCCUGUUUUUGGAUUUUGCCAUGUGACCACUGAUUUGUGAGUUUUCCCUGAACCAUCAGUGAAUAUUGUCAUCCCUUCCACUGGUUCCUGGCUUAUUUUUGGCUUUUCCCUGAAACUCACUUUUGCAUUUAACAUCCUGUGCGCCGGGAAAUGAACUGUACAAAUCCCUGGAUAUCCUAACAAAGCA